Non-coding RNA from Podarcis muralis (Common wall lizard), 1249 nucleotides. NCBI's taxonomy places the organism in Eukaryota, Metazoa, Chordata, Lepidosauria, Squamata, Lacertidae. The record is from RefSeq and is a predicted model, not a curated record.
AGAUGGGCGGGGUAUAAAUAAUAAAUUAUUAUUAUUAUAUUAUUAUUAUUGUCUCCAUGCUCCUCGCUGCUUAAUUCUAUAAGGAACAACACUGAGAAUUCAGGAGGAUGAAGCUAUCGGUGAGAGACACCCGUGGACUGGUUGUAAGUGAGAAGGUAGUGAGGUGGGGGCUGCCUGGGGGAAGAGGGGCAGCACCCCACUUGCAAAUAGACUUUCCAAACAUGUGGAGGAAGCUGUGGAAACACAAACAGGUAAACUAUAAACAAUUGUGAUAGCUGAGAUUGUCUCAAACCAUUACCUGUGUUUACGCUUAUGGGAGCUAAUCCUGGAGACUAUAAAAUGUGGUUAACCUCGCUAAACAAGAUUAAGCCAAUAUGUAUGUAUAAAUCAUUACUCUGAUUUCAUUAUUCUCAGUCCAGCAGAUCCCUCUUUCCAUACCUAAUUAUAGAUACACCAGCUACAUUGGAUCAGCACUGUGAUCUCAAUGGCUCUUAGAUCUGAAGCAGAAUCUUUUGACUUUGGGAGGCAACUCAACCAGAAAGGCCAAUCUGAAUAUAUUUAUGAAGGAGCCGCACUUUCAAAUGGGAUGAAACCCUUCUUCUGGAAAAAGAAAUAUGGUGGGAUGAGGAACCUACAGCCCUCUGGAUAUUGCCUGGAUUUCCAUACCUGUUAGCCAGUACAGCCAAGCGGACUUGAUCAGGCACAUAGAUUUCCUGGCUACAGUCAUCCCCUCUUUGGGCUAGAACGAGAAACAACUUUGAUUUCAGAGGGGAAUCAAUCAAGGCAGGUCAGUGAUGGGGGCACCACCUGCCCCUCCUUGCAAGGGAGGGUCAUGAACUUGGCCAGUCAGAGUGGCAAGACUGGCACCAGCCAACUUCUCUUUGCUAACUUCCGCUCUGUUCUUCGUCAAGAAACAAAUCCUGCAUUAAAAUCUCACACCACUAGAGGACACUCAAAGCCUUCAUUUCUUUUCUCGAAACUGGAAUUGCCCAACUGAUUCUGCAGCCUGCGAUUGAAUUCUUCCACUGCAAAAAACAUAUAUAGGGCCCACCAAGUCAAGAAAUAUGAGGUUUGCCUCUGAGAAUGAACCAAUUUUGUUGCAUGGGUUUCUGAGGGUUCCCCCCCCCCAAGAGGCUUAGGGUUAGGUAGGAACUGGGCUUAUCAUUCCUUAGCACAGUUGCAUUUUUAUGAAAUAAAGUUAUGUGUUAAGUUGAGCUCGCUGAUGGUAUUGAUACCCCACCUCUAUCCU